Long non-coding RNA from Eriocheir sinensis (Chinese mitten crab), 6761 nucleotides. RefSeq lists it as uncharacterized. Lineage: Eukaryota; Metazoa; Arthropoda; Malacostraca; Decapoda; Varunidae. The transcript has 3 exons. The record is from RefSeq and is a predicted model, not a curated record.
GGAAAAAAAUUAGUUGGAAUGAAAAGGAAAAAAGUGAAUGAACUGACAGGAAAAAAAUUAGUUGGAAUGAAAAGGAAAAAAGUGAAUGAAUUGACAGGAAAUAAAUUAGUUGGAAUGAAAAGGAAAAAAGUGAAUGAAUUGAUAGGAAAAAAAUUAGUUGGAAUGAAAAGGAAAAAAGUGAAUGAAUUGACAGGAAAAAAAUUAGUUGGAAUGAAAAGGAAAAAAGUGAAUGAAUUGACAGGAAAAAAAUUAGUUGGAAUGAAAAGGAAAAAAGUGAAUGAACUGACAGGAAAAAAAUUAGUUGGAAUGAAAAGGAAAAAAGUGAAUGAAUUGAUGGGGAAAAAAAUAGUUGGAAUGAAAAGGAAAAAAGUGAAUGAAUUGAUGGGGAAAAAAUUAGUUGGAAUGAAAAGGAAAAAAGUGAAUGAAUUGAUGGGGAAAAAAUUAGUUGGAAUGAAAAGGAAAAAAGUGAAUGAAUUGACAGGAAAAAAAUUAGUUGGAAUGAAAAGGAAAAAAGUGAAUGAAUUGAUGGGAAAAAAUUAGUUGGAAUGAAAAGGAAAAAAGUGAAUGAACUGACAGGAAAAAAAUUAGUUGGAAUGAAAAGGAAAAAAGUGAAUGAAUUGACAGGAAAAAAAUUAGUUGGAAUGAAAAGGAAAAAAGUGAAUGAAUUGACAGGAAAAAAAUUAGUUGGAAUGAAAAGGAAAAAAGUGAAUGAACUGAAAGGAAAAAAAAUUAGUUGGAAUGAAAAGGAAAAAAAUGAAUGAAUUGAUGGGGAAAAAAUUAGUUGGAAUGAAAAGGAAAAAAAGUGAAUGAAUUGAUGGGAAAAAAGUUAACUGGAAUGAAGAGUAAAGAUGUGAAUGAGUUGAUGGGUGACUCAAUACGAACCACAGACACAAGAACGAUAGAAAAAAUAUAUAACAGGUAAAUAAAUAAACAAGUGAUUAAAUCUUGUACGAGUUUCCUUUUCUUUAUAAUCCUUCCUUUUUCUCUUUCUUCCUUCUAAAUACAAAUAAAUAGCAAAAUUAAACUGAUUCAUAUUUUUUUCCAUACUUUCCUUCAUGCCAGAUUUCAGAUAAUUGUCGUUUUAAGAGAGUUUGAUUUCCUGCUUUUAAGAAGUUGCGAUGUUUUGGGUGGUGAUUAUAAUUUCCACUUUGCAUGACUUCAGACUACUGGGUGAUCAGAUUAGUGGAGUUCUGCUGUAAAUUAACCCUCAAACAGCGGCAGUAUUUGAAGAGCAGCUCCCCUAUAAUGAGGCGUCUGUAUAUAAUCACUGCCGACCGUAGCAUGAAUAUAGUUUGGCCGCAUAAUGAAUGUUUUAACUAUCCUUUGCUCUCUAUAUUUUUCUUGUCUUUCUUUCUAUUUCCUUACAGUGUUACCUUAUAUUUUCUUUUAUUUCCGGCUUUGUUUUCAUUGCUUUCCUUCCCUCUUUCUCUUUUCCUUCUUCUCUGGCGAGUGUGAUUAAUAUUUCUCUCUCUUUUGCUAUGUAUAUUUCCCUUUUUCUUUACUCCGCUACAUUCUUGGGGGGUCUUUCACAUACACUAUGGGUCACAUUUUAAAACAUUUCUCCUUCCAAGUUCACAUAUUUGACAAGGCUUUCGUGGGAGUUGUAGGCAUUUCCAGGAGUAGUUUUAAGAUCCUGGUGGUAGUUUGACCCUUCUUCUGUACCACGAACCUAAAAAAAGACCCAUUAGAACAUGAUUGAUCCCCUCUUUGACCUUUAAAAAUAGUUGAUGUUAGAAGCGAAGGUGUCUUGUAAUACCAUCCAAAGGGUCAUUGUGUCUAUAGAGAUUCUACCGCAGUCUGGGAGUGUUGUUAUAUUUCUGCCAUACAAAACUGACCGACUGAAUUUUGGACCAUCUAUAUAGAGUUCCAUCGAAGUCUGCGGGUUAACACAAAGCAAGAUUCAACCCUUACAACUUUGAUUUUUUGUAUUGCUUCAUUCCUUCCUUUCUAUAAUAAUCUCAAAACUUUCCUUCCUUCCUUUCUUCUAUUGUUGUAUGGCUUCAUUCUGUAUUUCCUUCCUUUUUCCUUCCUAAUAUAAUAAAAAAUUUCCUUCCUUUCUUAUAUUUUUGUACUGCUUCAUUUCGUAUUUCCUUCCUUUCUUCCUUUCUAUUAUAAUCUCAAAACUUUCCUUCCUUCCUUCUAUUUUUGUACUGCUUCAUUCUGUAUUUCCUUCCUUUCUAUAAUAAUCUCAAAACUUUCCUUCCUUCCUUCCUUCCUUCUAUACCCUUGAAAACCUGAAUAAGGAGUAAACAAAGAAAUCAAUACAACGCAACCAACACUCUCCGAUAUAAAGCACAUGACACACUUUGAUUCUUGCAGGACACUAGCUUAUGGUACAGCCUUGAGCACUCGAUGGCCACAGGGAGACAGGCUAGGAAAAAAAGUUAUCCGUCGCUCCCCACGCACAGAUGAGUAACAAGUAUGAACGUCGGGAGGAAUUCAUGAGGCGACAGAUUUUGUUUUACAUCACACUGCUGCGAAAUGUAAAUAGAUAACACAUAAUCUCAUUCUCGGUAAACGAAUUCCCACGAAACAGCAACAUGAGAGAAAAUAAAAGGUGAAUGAAUGACGUAUAUUUCAUCCGCAGUAAACGAAUUCCCACGAAACAGCAACAUGAGAGAAAAUAAAAGGUGAAUGACGUAUAAUUUCAUCCGCAGUAAAUGAAUUCCCACGAAACAGCAACGUGAAAAAACAAAAGGUGAAUCAAUAUCAUAUAAUUUCAUCCUUGGUAAACGAAUUCCCACAAAACAACAACAUGAGAGAAAAUAAUAGAUGAAUGAAUGACGUAGAAUUUCAGCCUCGGUAAAUGAAUUCCCACGAAACAGCAACAUGAGAAAAUAAUAGAUGAAUGAAUGAUGUAAAAUUUCAUCCUCGGUAAAUGAAGAAAAAAUAAUCCGUGAAUGAAUAUCGUGUAAUCUCAUCCUCGGCAAACAAGCUCCCACAGGACAGCGACACAGGGCAACGUAAGCACUAACUCGGGUGUUAAUUCGGAAUCUCUUUUAUAGGAGCAGCGAUUAGCGUUUUUUUUUUUUUCUACACUCCCUUUUUGUUGCCCUCGCGUUGCUUCCUUUACCGUAAAAAAAUAAACAAGCAAAAAUACCGCAGUGAAAAAACACCGAAGAAUUUUUUAUUUAGCCUCUACGGUAGGAUCCUGAAUUGAGCAAGAAUUUAGCGGAUCCAUGAAGUAUCACAAUCUCCGUUAGCUCUAUUGAAUAAUACAUAAAAUAUGACCAACGGUAUUUGAUUUUCGUUCGUCUAAGUCUGUUUCUCGCCAAAUUCCGUCCAUUUUCAUAACCUGUUUCUCCUGUUUAAGACCUGCUCGCCUUACUAAUAAUUCAUGGUUGUGUAUUUUUGGAAAGUCAAACUAAGUGCGAUUUACAUUAUUUGAUCUUCUGGCAUUUGUAACCCAGCUAUACGUACAUUUCCAGCCCAAAUCCGUGCCAAAAAUAGCCCAAACAUAAGUAGCUCCUUCCAGCCCAAAUUUCAGAGUCAAUGCAGUCAGAUUACACCAUGGAACGUAGCUUAUGUUAUGUUCAUGCUGCGUGGCCCAAACAGCACGGAGAGACCUUAUCACCAUCACAGCCUAUGAUCAAUGUUAGCUGAGACAAAGACAGAGAUAGAGAUAGGUAGACAGAAGAUAGAUAUAGAUAGGUAGACAGAAGAUAGAUAUUGAUAGAUAGAUUGCAAAAUUUCUCUUUACAAUGCGAUUUAUUCAACGUUAAUUUUUCACUUCAAGGAGUUAGAGGAAUGAGAAGAAAUGUAAACGUUAUGGUAUUUAUGAUUCUUUAAGCAAGCCCCGACGAUCAUGCUGAGAGGACGAAACAGCAUGGAGAUCACAGCCUAUGAUCAAUGUUAGCUGAGACAAAGACAGAGAUAGGUAGAUAGAAGAUAGAUAAAGAUAUGUGUUGCAAAAUUUCUCUUUACAAUGCGAUUUAUUCAACGUUAAUUUUUCACUUCAAGGAGUUAGAGGAAUGAGAAGAAAUUGAAACGAUAUGCUAUUUAUGAUUCUUUAAGUCCCCGACGAUCAUGCUGAGUGGUCCAAACAGCAUGAAAAUGUCACUGUUGGCGCCACCACCCAGCUGUACCUCCCUCGCCCUUCAUCCAAAGUCAGUCACUACCCUUAUCACCGGCCUCCCCUCCAACCUCCCUUUACAUGAAUUACCCUUCCCCCUUUACUAAUAUUAAUGAGAUUACUUCAGAUAUAGGCAUUUUUUCUAUCACAAUGAAGGAAGUUGGAAAGUUUCGUUUAGUCGGCGCAACAUCUGUGGUCAUAUGCCGGAGAGAGACAGGAGGAGAAGGGAACAGAGCCCAGGAGACGGGACACAACCCCCGAUUAAUACCUGGUACCCAUUCACUGCUGGGUGGACAGGGGCGUAGGGUAUCGGAAAAGCCGCCCAAAUUUUUCCACUCCGCCCGGGAAUCGAACAUCACAAUGACGGUAGCAUUAGCCAAUCAGUAAGGUCAUGGUAAAGUUGGGGGCAAACGCUAAGCUGUUCAUCUCUGUCUCACUGGCCCUUGAGUGUCCGAAGCAUGAGAACCCACUACCCCAGGACACAGGGCAGGAGUGACAUUCAGGUUACCACAGUUUACCUUCCCCAGGUUUCCCCAGGUACCCAUUUAUCACCCAAAGAGAAAAAUGAACAACAGGAAGGGAUGUACAUUGAAUACUUGGCCCCAUGGAUAUGUAGCUAGACAUAAGGUAGUGAUGAACAUUGAAUAUUUGGGUCCAUGGAUUUGAGGCUAAACAUGCUAACCACUACACCAUGGAGCCAAUAAGCAAUGCAAGCAAAAUAGUCAGCCAAUCAGUGAAAAGGCAAGAGCAGCGUCAACCAAUCAGUGACGACUUCAAGGAGAGGGGGCGGGGCUUACAGUACAAGUUGGGUGGCGGGGAAAACAGCCUCACAGCCUCGGCAGCAUAACAACAAAGAGUGCGGCUAAAUUCAUCCUUGCAGCGGUACUUUUCAGCGAUCGGUUUCCGUCUCGCAAAAUCGGAAUAACAAAAGAAGUGGAUAAGUUGCGUCACCUCCGUUUUGUUUUGUUUUUUCCUCUUCUAUAAAUGAAAGACUUGCUUGGUGGAGGUUAGGGGAGUGAGGUGAUGUUUUGGUCUUGUGUUGGCGGGUUGAAUAGGGAAGGGAAGGGGAAUGGAUGAGAUAGGAAGGGAAGGGAAGAGCAUGGUAGGGAAUGGAAUAGAAGAGAAAUGAAGGGAAAGGAAUGGAAGGAAACGAAAGAAAAGGGAAGGGAAGGGAAAGGGAAUGGAAGAGAUGAAAAGGGAAGGAGAGAUAAUAGAAGGGAAUGGAAGAGAUGAAAAGGGAAGGAGAGAUAAUAGAAGGGAAUGGAAGAGAAGGGAAGGGAGGGGAAAGGGAAGGAAUGAGAAGGAAAGGGAAGGAAAGGAAAGGGAAGAGAAGUGAAGGGUAGCCAAGGACAAGCAUGAAAAAUCAACAGAUUCUUACAUUAAAACAAUCUGCUCGAGAAACCCAAUCAAUUCCCUGGGCAGCUCAUGUGACUCGGAGAAUAAACUUGACAAAACAGGGAAGAGGAGGAGAAGGAGGAGGAGGAGGAGGAGGAAACAUGGAAGGACAGGCCACAUACAGAAUCCUAUCUCAUCAAACGGUUGCCUGUUUCAAUUUGUCAGGAACUUAAGUGAAAUACCUAGAGGGAGAAAAAAAGUUAGAAGAGUUGACGUAAGGAAAGGGGACGAGAGGAUGGGAGAGGAGACGAGGGAAUGAAAAAGGUGAGAUGGGAAACGGAGAUGAAAGGGAAAUGGGAAAGUGGGGAAAAUGGGAGAUCAAAGGUAGAAAGGAUGGGAAAAGGAGAUGAAAGGGAAGUUGAUAAUGAAAAAAAUGGGAAACAGAACAGGUAGGAAGGAUAGAGGAGAGGGGAGGAAAGGGAAAUAUAGAAAAAUGGAAAAUGGGAGAUGGAAGGAAUAGGAAAAAUGGGGCGGGGCACAAGGCAAUGAGAACAGGACCGCAUACGAGACAAACAGUAAAUUAUGAUGAACGGGGGAAGAACGGAAGAGAGGAAGGGCGAGAGGAGGUGACGAACAGGGCAGGAAAGGAAGAACGAGAGACACAUAAAGAUGAGAACCACAUACAUGACAAACAGAAAUGACAAUGAACAGAAAAAGAAAGAACGGAAGGAAGGACGAACGAGAGGAGAUGACGAACAGGGCGAGAAAGGAAGAGAGACGAGAUAGACGGGGAAUAAUGGAAGACAAUAGACGACAUGAAGAAGACAAAAGAAAGAGAACGGAAGGACGAAGAAAGGCGGGAACAAUGCACGUCAACAAUAAUAAUAAUGAUAAUAAUAAUAAUAAUAGUUGUAAGAUCACCAUACGUGCGCGUCACACUUACUUACAUUAUUUAUUUAUUCCUUAUUUUUAAAGACGUUCGGUACAGUGGUAGUACGUAACAUACUUGCGUCGUCGCUGUUGUAGUAGUAAUAGUAGUAGAAGUAGUAGUAGAAGAAGUAGUAGGAGUGGUAGGCAAAAUGGUAGUACAUAUCGUUAGUGGAAGUAGUGACAGCAGAAGUGGUGGUAGUUAUCAAUUAUUACCGUAAGUAUUUUAAGUAGUAGUGGUGGUAGUAGUAGUAGUAGUAGGAACAGUCAUAGAAACAUUGGUGACAGUAGUAACAUUAGCAGGGAAAAAAAGAUUGCAGUAGUUAUAGAUAUCAAUUUUUACCAUCAGUAGUAGUAGUAGUAGUAAAUGAAGUAGUAGUAGUAGUAGUAGUAGUCAUAGUAGGAACAGUCAUAGAAACAUUGGUGA